Molecule: ribosomal RNA, 450 nt
Filed under: uncultured bacterium
Lineage: Bacteria
Description: partial 16S ribosomal RNA
Rfam family: Bacterial small subunit ribosomal RNA
Source: RNAcentral
CCUACGGGUGGCUGCAGUAGGGAAUAUUGGACAAUGGGCGAAAGCCUGAUCCAGCCAUGCCGCGUGAUAGAUGAAGGCCCUCUGGGUUGUAACUAUCUUUUAUCUGGGAAGAAACAAUCUUAUUCUUAAGAUCUUGACGGUACCAGAGGAAUAAGCACCGGCUAACUCCGUGCCAGCAGCCGCGGUAAUACGGAGGGUGCAAGCGUUAUCCGGAUUCACUGGGUUUAAGGGGGGCGUAGGAGUCCUGAUAGAAAGCUCCGAGCUUAACUUGGAAACUGCCAUUGAUACGGCCAGUCUUGAAUGGCGUAGAGGUAAGCGGAAUGUUGCAUGUAGCGGUGAAAUGCUUAGAUAGGGUACAGAACACCAAUUGCGAAGGCAGCUUACUAUGCGAUGAUUGACGCUGAGGCACGAAAGCGUGGGGAGCAAACAGGAUUAGAUACCCUAGUAGUC